Non-coding RNA from Podarcis lilfordi (Lilford's wall lizard), 74 nucleotides. The record is from the annotation of a GenBank genome assembly. NCBI's taxonomy places the organism in Eukaryota, Metazoa, Chordata, Lepidosauria, Squamata, Lacertidae.
GGAGGGGAAUAACUCAGUGGUAGAGCUUCUGCCUUCCAUGCAGAAGGUCCUAAAUUCAAUCCCUGGCACCUCCA